This 424-nucleotide RNase P RNA is filed under the name Planctomycetota bacterium. RNAcentral's name for it is "Planctomycetes bacterium RNase P RNA component class A". It matches the Rfam family "Bacterial RNase P class A". Rfam says of the family: Ribonuclease P (RNase P) is a ubiquitous endoribonuclease, found in archaea, bacteria and eukarya as well as chloroplasts and mitochondria. Its best characterised activity is the generation of mature 5'-ends of tRNAs by cleaving the 5'-leader elements of precursor-tRNAs. The record is from RNAcentral. Lineage: Bacteria; Pseudomonadati; Planctomycetota.
GGAGUGGGCUGGCCGAUCGCUGGGCUGUCAUGGCCUGGAGGAAAGUCCGGACUCCGCAGGGCAUGGUGGUGGGUAACGCCCACCGCUCGCAAGGGUAGGGAAAGUGCCGCAGAAAGUAAACCGCCGUCGUGGUUUGAAGCGAGUGAUCGUUUUAGGUCGCGGGUAAGGGUGAAACGGUGAGGUAAGAGCUCACCAGCAGGCCGGGUGACCGGUCUGGCUUGGCAAACCCCACCAGGAGCAAGACCAAAUAUGGGGGCAGUCAUGCUGGCCGAAAGGCUGGAAUGACGCGGAUCGGCCCGAUCCGUUAUGACCCCCGGGUCGGUCGCUUGAGGUGAUCCGCAAGGCUCAUCCCAGAUUCAUGAUCGGUCCCGAUUUUCUUCAAGAAUUUCGGUGACAAAAUCCGGCUUACAGGCCCACUACUUAC